RNAcentral lists this long non-coding RNA (2568 nucleotides) under Aquilegia coerulea. Its description in RNAcentral is "long non-coding RNA (ACOE_LNC000781)". Lineage: Eukaryota; Viridiplantae; Streptophyta; Magnoliopsida; Ranunculales; Ranunculaceae. The record is from RNAcentral.
AAAUUUAACAGGUUUUUGAAUGAUAUUGAGACCUUCUGUGAACCAUGGCUCAGUGACAUUGAACUUGAAUGUACAACUGAAGUUGUACACCGUCAGGUCUCGCACCAUGGGAUCGAAUCCCCCAAAAGGCUUACACACAACACACUUACAAAGCAUACAAAUUACAUUAUGCAGCCAAAAACAAAACCAACAAGCAACACCAUUCCAUAAACUUCAUCCACAGCCAAUCAGAAAACUGCAAAGUCUACCCUUGAGCAUGCAUAGUUCCAAGUCAUUCAACAGAUCCAUGAAUCUGAUGUCACCCCUUUGCUCCAGACUAACUCUGUCACAACAUAACUCAGAACUGCAUUGUCAGUAAACUUGCAGUCUUUUCCCUAAAGAUAACAUCAUUCCAAAUGAACCAAACCACGGCAUAAGGAAGAAUGGACCAGACUUUCCCGCAAAAAUCUCCUUUGUUCAACUCCGACCAUUCUUCCAUACGCUUUUUCAAAGAUCUCAAGCUGCUGAAUAUUAAAAUCAAAUACAUUAAGAAAUUUAACAAAAAUAAAAGUAAAGAAGAAACCUCAGCAAGCCAGUGCGUUGCUACUCCUACUGCUGCUACUGUAAUUACCUGGAAGGCUCAAACCUUUAAUUUACUGUUGUUGCUUCCUGCUGUUGUCGUACACCUAUCAUCUUGCUUCCAUAAGUUUGUGCCACCCAGUGAGGAGACAUGCAACCCUUAUACUUUGUAUCAACUUAAUUGCAAACUGGCCUAUGUUCAGCUAGUUCUAAAUUACAGUCUUUACUUGCACCACAAUAUUUAUAUUCUCCAGGUCUCUGAAAUAAAACUAACCCGAAGGCAAACAUAAUGAAUAAAACUCCCAUACAACAAUGAAUAAAACUGAUACUUCCUGAAACGCAAUGAAAACAAACUACCAUAAAAUGGAUUGCGGACUAUUACCUAAAGAGUUGUCCUAACUUGCAACAUGUUAAUGUGAUGCCUAUGUACUCGAAAACAUCUACAGUAUUUAGACAAAAUUUAACUCCAAUACUAGGGUCUAAAUUCUCUUCACUACUCAAUUCCAAUAAUUAUUAACUAAUAUGUUAUUGUAGUAAGGAUACCAAUCAAAGCAGACUAUUUAAUAUAACCUGAUAUAGGAUGUAUCUUGAUAUCCAGUGAGCAAAAUAGGGACAAUAUAUCAAGGUAAAAAAUGUUAUGACUUCAUACCAGUAUUGUAGAUGAGAAUUGAUCGAAGAUAAAAACAGUUGAUCAUCCACCUCUUUGUGAUCAAACGGAUGUAGCUGUAUAGAGAUAACUUAAGAUAAAGGAACUUGGUUAAUGGUAUUUUUUUUUUUCUUUAUAAGGAAAAAUCUUGUUAAUUUGUAAAAAGGAUUACAAACUCUAGACAGCUUAUACAAUUUGGUGAAGGUCUAGAAAGGAUCAUUUCUGUAUUUUUCCAUAUAACCCAAAGAACCGCCGCAGGUAGUAGAUUCAAAAUCCACUAAGUAAUUUCUGGUCCUUGCUUCUCCAGCCACGCUACCAACUGAACUGUCUCUAUACAAAAAAUCUUUGAGUAAAUGUCUGGGGAGAAAUAAAAUCGUCCAAAUCUACAAAUUUUUUGUACAAUGCAGAAAAGUGAGUAGUGGAUUCAUUUGACAUCCCACACAUGUAACAGACUGGUGGCAGCGCUUUACCCAUUUUAAUGAGUUUAAUGUACAAAGAAGUAUCUUGAUAUUGAGGGGGGAAGGUCUGUCUCAAACAAUUUUAGUUGGGAAGUGUUGUAGUUGAGUAGAUGGGCCUGUGUUUAGUUUGCACAAUUUGCCAUACAUAGAUUUGACUGAAAACUGACCUGUUCACGACUAAUCUCUAUGUCCAUAAGUCAUCACCCUCCUUAACAGUUAUCUGAUGAAUUAGUGUAUUAAGGUCAGUCAUCUGUGGUUAAUAGUGUUAAAUUAGUUAUGUUCCAAAAUCAAAAACUGCAUAAGCAAAUUAACAAACUUUUAGAACUUCAAAAACCGUGUGAGAUAGAGAGAGGUAAAGUGUGAAACAGAGUUUGUGAGAAUUAAAAUAGUGUGACCGGGACAUAUAGGCCUCCAUUAUCAAUAUCACCUGUGUUGAUAUUAAAUACUCACAUUAUAGAUGUCCUUUGAAAUAGAUAAUUGCAUAUAAAUAUCAAAUUCUUUGAUCAUACAGGUUGAUGGAAAAUAGUGAUUAGAUUAAGGAUUAUAACACCAUGAUCGAGUAGAUAGGAGAUUGAUUGAACUUAGUAAAGAUCACACAAUAUUGAAAGUGCAUUACAAUUUAGCAUAACAAUAAAAAUAAACAAAAAGGAGGAAUAUUAGAAAUAGAUUGUGUAAGAAAAAAAAAUAGGCUCACGACUUAUUUGGGUUUGGGUCGAUUUUCUCUAAAAUGAUGAUCUGAAAUAAUAAUUCUGCCAACAAUAAUUUGGUGAUAGGGAUGAAAUGAUUCACAUUGAAUGAAAUUACAUAAAAACCAAGAUAUUUAAUCUACCUGUCAAAACCUCGUGCACAAAAUGAACCGAACAAAUUGCCACAAACUUAAAAUUAAUCCAUGGAAACAUGAAACCU